This 1555-nucleotide ribosomal RNA is filed under the name Staphylococcus aureus. RNAcentral describes it as "16S rRNA". It matches the Rfam family "Bacterial small subunit ribosomal RNA". Lineage: Bacteria; Bacillati; Bacillota; Bacilli; Caryophanales; Staphylococcaceae. The record is from RNAcentral.
UUUUAUGGAGAGUUUGAUCCUGGCUCAGGAUGAACGCUGGCGGCGUGCCUAAUACAUGCAAGUCGAGCGAACGGACGAGAAGCUUGCUUCUCUGAUGUUAGCGGCGGACAGGUGAGUAACACGUGGAUAACCUACCUAUAAGACUGGGAUAACUUCGGGAAACCGGAGCUAAUACCGGAUAAUAUUUUGAACCGCAUGGUUCAAAAGUAAAAGACGGUCUUGCUGUCACUUAUAGAUGGAUCCGCGCUGCAUUAGCUAGUUGGUAAGGUAACGGCUUACCAAGGCAACGAUGCAUAGCCGACCUGAGAGGGUGAUCGGCCACACUGGAACUGAGACACGGUCCAGACUCCUACGGGAGGCAGCAGUAGGGAAUCUUCCGCAAUGGGCGAAAGCCUGACGGAGCAACGCCGCGUGAGUGAUGAAGGUCUUCGGAUCGUAAAACUCUGUUAUUAGGGAAGAACAUAUGUGUAAGUAACUGUGCACAUCUUGACGGUACCUAAUCAGAAAGCCACGGCUAACUACGUGCCAGCAGCCGCGGUAAUACGUAGGUGGCAAGCGUUAUCCGGAAUUAUUGGGCGUAAAGCGCGCGUAGGCGGUUUUUUAAGUCUGAUGUGAAAGCCCACGGCUCAACCGUGGAGGGUCAUUGGAAACUGGAAAACUUGAGUGCAGAAGAGGAAAGUGGAAUUCCAUGUGUAGCGGUGAAAUGCGCAGAGAUAUGGAGGAACACCAGUGGCGAAGGCGACUUUCUGGUCUGUAACUGACGCUGAUGUGCGAAAGCGUGGGGAUCAAACAGGAUUAGAUACCCUGGUAGUCCACGCCGUAAACGAUGAGUGCUAAGUGUUAGGGGGUUUCCGCCCCUUAGUGCUGCAGCUAACGCAUUAAGCACUCCGCCUGGGGAGUACGACCGCAAGGUUGAAACUCAAAGGAAUUGACGGGGACCCGCACAAGCGGUGGAGCAUGUGGUUUAAUUCGAAGCAACGCGAAGAACCUUACCAAAUCUUGACAUCCUUUGACAACUCUAGAGAUAGAGCCUUCCCCUUCGGGGGACAAAGUGACAGGUGGUGCAUGGUUGUCGUCAGCUCGUGUCGUGAGAUGUUGGGUUAAGUCCCGCAACGAGCGCAACCCUUAAGCUUAGUUGCCAUCAUUAAGUUGGGCACUCUAAGUUGACUGCCGGUGACAAACCGGAGGAAGGUGGGGAUGACGUCAAAUCAUCAUGCCCCUUAUGAUUUGGGCUACACACGUGCUACAAUGGACAAUACAAAGGGCAGCGAAACCGCGAGGUCAAGCAAAUCCCAUAAAGUUGUUCUCAGUUCGGAUUGUAGUCUGCAACUCGACUACAUGAAGCUGGAAUCGCUAGUAAUCGUAGAUCAGCAUGCUACGGUGAAUACGUUCCCGGGUCUUGUACACACCGCCCGUCACACCACGAGAGUUUGUAACACCCGAAGCCGGUGGAGUAACCUUUUAGGAGCUAGCCGUCGAAGGUGGGACAAAUGAUUGGGGUGAAGUCGUAACAAGGUAGCCGUAUCGGAAGGUGCGGCUGGAUCACCUCCUUUCU